AGGCCUAGGACUUUAACCUGGAGGGACUGCUGCAGAGAGGACUGGGGCUCCCCAGAAAAAGGAGUGAAGGAUACCGUUUCUACAUAACUAACGUAUCUGUACAGAAAUCUGCUUACCACCCAAACAUUGUGGGAGAAUUCUAAUAGAGUAUUUAGUUUUUUAUUAAGCUUUUUAAAAAAUUACCUUUCAACACAGUUGCUCAGGGAUUACAUCAGGUGGGAACCCCAUUCUGACUCCACAGAUCACUACAAAGAAGUUAAUGCUUGUCUUAAGCCGAAGGGACAGCACUCUUCAAGCUUCCUUCAGAAAGUGAAAUGUUUGGUGAUUUUACUACAGUACAACCUAAGCUGCUUUUCCAGUUGGCAAACUCUCCAACAUGAAGACUCCAGUCUGCACAGACUAGCCUCCAACAAGCAGCUGGACUUCAGUUAGCAGCCCUGCGUCCUGCCGGUGUUUAUCUUCUCUGUAACCAUGGCCACGACACCCGGGACAAGUUUCAUUACCAGUCCCCUGUGAGAGCCUUUGCUCUCUUGUAACAGAAUUCCAAAACACAGCAACAUAUUUACUGUGACACAAUCCUUGUCUGCAGCUACCUACCAGGACCUGUUUGGAACUGUGGCCAUGCAUCUAAGAUGCCAUUCCUUGAGCACAUAAGCUAGACUAUACCUGUGAGGAAACAAUUUUAUAUCGAUUGCUGUAGUGUAGAAAAAUAAGAAGUGGAUUUGGACUUGCACUCUAAUCUCUCUGAUCUCAAACAUAAGAAACAGUUCUUGUAUAUAAUGCUCAAAAAUUACUUUUGACUAUUAAGUCCAUAAAAACCUGAAUCUUGUAUAC
This 834-nucleotide long non-coding RNA is filed under the name Rattus norvegicus (Norway rat). RNAcentral's name for it is "long non-coding RNA NONRATT005635". Lineage: Eukaryota; Metazoa; Chordata; Mammalia; Rodentia; Muridae. The record is from RNAcentral.